CAAUAGCGUAUAUUAAAGUUGUUGCAGUUAAAAAGCUCGUAGUUGGAUUUGUGGUGUACUUCGGCGGCCCGUCACUAUGUGAUGGAGCUUGCUGAAGUCGCCAUCCUUGGGUGGAUCCUGUGUGGCAUUAAGUUGUCGUGCAGGGGAUGCCCAUCGUUUACUGUGAAAAAAUUAGAGUGUUCAAAGCAGGCUUAUGCCGUUGAAUAUAUUAGCAUGGAAUAAUAAGAUAGGACCUUGGUACUAUUUUGUUGGUUUGCGCACCAAGGUAAUGAUUAAUAGGGACAGUUGGGGGUAUUCGUAUUUCAUUGUCAGAGGUGAAAUUCUUGGAUUUUUGAAAGACGCACUACUGCGAAAGCAUUUACCAAGGAUGUUUUCAUUAA
RNAcentral lists this ribosomal RNA (380 nucleotides) under uncultured eukaryote. Its description in RNAcentral is "partial 18S ribosomal RNA". It matches the Rfam family "Eukaryotic small subunit ribosomal RNA", at positions 592 to 976 of the family's 1831-position model. The record is from RNAcentral.